UAUUCCAGUCUGGAUGACCAGAUGACGGGUCCACAGCGGUGAUCACCAACCGGACAUCCACUGCCCAUUCUUGUAGUGGACUGCUCUGCUUUCAGAAAGCCUACCAAGGUCAACCACCAGAGGGGGACUGCAAACGAUGAUCCACAACCAGGGCAUCACGUGGAGGAUCAGGUGGUGACGGGUCUCUGCAGGGUCAGGCAGCCAGGGAAGACCAGCCUGUGAUGGAGGUCUGUUUAGUUUGCUGGUGCCUCUGGGCACAUGGAGGGAUGAGGCAGGGAGGGAGAGCAGCCUGGAGCCCCUGCCUGCCAGGAGCUCCCCUGCCUGGCUCGGGGGAAGGUUGGGCUGGAUUAGACGGCUGACAGCUGGGCCAGAUCUCUGGAGGCACCGGGUGGAAAGGCCCCCUGUCUGACUGCCGCUGCACCAAGUGUCAAUUUGAGCAUGAAGGAAGGUGCAGGGAGCAGGUGAAGAGAGGGAUGGAGCGAGAGAACAGGGGCCACUGGUAGUCCUCUGUGGAUUGACAUCAUUGGUGCAUGGGCCGUGCACACCGUUAGGCAUCGAGAAACACACUGUUUAUUUAGGAGGAGCUUCCGACUUGGGAGCACAAAUGUGCACACACGGAUGGCAGACGCACGUGCGCAGACACACAUGGAUAGACAGACAGAGACAAAGCCCACUUACAAGCGUUGAGCUCUGCCCUCUUCUAUAUGUAAGUCUUGUUGUCGGUAGAAGUGAGUAGAGGAGAAAGUCUAACUUGCAUAGUGACAGCAUGUACUUACAUUACCUUGUUGUUUAAGUAACACACCCACAUAUUUUAGAUAUCGGCAGCCAGCCACUGGUUUGAAUACUUGAGUCAACAAGUUGAAAAAUCUUUCGAUGUGCCCUUGAACAAGGUAAAUAACCAUAAUUUGGUCCAGGGGAAAUGUACUACUAUGGCUGACCCUGUAAAAUAAAACAUAUCUUUAUAUUUAGGAAACAACAGCUUAAAUAAUGCCUGGAACUCUUCUUGGGAACCCACAGCUUUUCUAUAAUGGAAAUAUAACCCACCUCAGGCAGCAUCCUAUACAAUUAAGUGCAAUCAAGAUUACAGACUACUUGAAAUUAAACCGUUUCUUGUUUUUAAUCAAGAAAAUAAUUCACUGAGGGGAAAUCUAAUCAAUUUAACUUGCCAGCCAUGGUGGAUGCAACGUUAUGUUACCUGAUUUGACUUUGAACUUUUUUGCAUUGUUAAGUUUCUUUGGGGAUAUUUGACUAGAUACGACAUAUACUUACGCAUAUGAAUAAAGACAUGCACCAGUGACACAAUUAAAGGGUCUUAGAAUGUUAAAGAAUAACGAUGUACACAAUAACAUUUCCCCUAACGAGUCCAUAUUACUCCAAUGAGGCUAACAUUUAUUUCCUGCUCUGAGACAUUGACGUCCCUGUGAUAUGGGCUAGAGAAGUUUUUAUCCCA
Molecule: long non-coding RNA, 1450 nt
Organism: Oncorhynchus keta (chum salmon)
Lineage: Eukaryota; Metazoa; Chordata; Actinopteri; Salmoniformes; Salmonidae
Exons: 3
Source: RefSeq, a predicted model, not a curated record